CACAGAGGUUAAACCUCCUUGUCAAAGUCUGAACUUGUCAGAAGCUAAGCAGGGCUGGGCCUGGUUAAUACUUGGAUGGGAUACUGCUGGGAAUCAACGGUUGCUGUGU
Molecule: ribosomal RNA, 109 nt
Filed under: Periophthalmus magnuspinnatus
Lineage: Eukaryota; Metazoa; Chordata; Actinopteri; Gobiiformes; Gobiidae
Source: RNAcentral